GGGGAUAUCGUCUAGAGGUUAGGACGAGGGAUUUUCAGUCCCUAAACCGGGGUUCGAUUCCCCGUAUCCCUA
Transfer RNA from Chthonomonas calidirosea T49, 72 nucleotides. It matches the Rfam family "tRNA". Rfam says of the family: Transfer RNA (tRNA) molecules are approximately 80 nucleotides in length. Their secondary structure includes four short double-helical elements and three loops (D, anti-codon, and T loops). NCBI's taxonomy places the organism in Bacteria, Bacillati, Armatimonadota, Chthonomonadia, Chthonomonadales, Chthonomonadaceae. The record is from Rfam.